This 332-nucleotide unclassified non-coding RNA is filed under the name uncultured fungus. Its description in RNAcentral is "sequence contains ITS1". Lineage: Eukaryota; Fungi. The record is from RNAcentral.
ACUGAAGGAUUCCCCCGCCUUGAUCGGUCGGCCGCCGAAUUCUUCGAUCAUGCAGACGUAGCCGCGCUGGUGGCACCAGGCUUCGGAGACGAUGUCGGGGGUGAGGGUCAUGCCGGCGAGCCAUGGGCCGUCCUUGCCUGUUUUGGGGUCGCGGAGGUGGUAGGCGCGGAUGAAGCGGGCGGGGGUUUUGUCGCGGCGUCGGGCGUAGUUGAAUUUUUCGUCGGGGGCGAAGUCCUUGAGAAACUCCUUGGCGGGGAUUUUGCCAAGUUUACCGAGAUAGCUUAAGUAGAUUUCGGAGAAAGUUUCGGCGUCUUUGUGUUUGAUGUGGCCGG